GUAACGCGUAAAGAACCUGCCCUCAGGUCUGGGAUAACCACGAGAAGUCGGGGCUAAUACCGGAUGGGUCAUCGGACCGCAUGGUCCGAGGAUGAAAGGCGCUUCGGCGUCGCCUGGGGAUGGCUUUGCGGUGCAUUAGCUAGUUGGUGGGGUAAUGGCCCACCAAGGCGACGAUGCAUAGCCGACCUGAGAGGGUGAUCGGCCACACUGGGACUGAGACACGGCCCAGACUCCUACGGGAGGCAGCAGUAGGGAAUCUUCCACAAUGGACGAAAGUCUGAUGGAGCAACGCCGCGUGAACGAUGAAGGCCUUCGGGUCGUAAAGUUCUGUUGUAAGGGAAGAACAAGUGCCGCAGGCAAUGGCGGCACCUUGACGGUACCUUGCGAGAAAGCCACGGCUAACUACGUGCCAGCAGCCGCGGUAAUACGUAGGUGGCAAGCGUUGUCCGGAAUUAUUGGGCGUAAAGCGCGCGCAGGCGGCCUCUUAAGUCUGAUGUGAAAGCCCCCGGCUCAACCGGGGAGGGCCAUUGGAAACUGGGAGGCUUGAGUAUAGGAGAGAAGAGUGGAAUUCCACGUGUAGCGGUGAAAUGCGUAGAGAUGUGGAGGAACACCAGUGGCGAAGGCGACUCUUUGGCCUAUAACUGACGCUGAGGCG
Molecule: ribosomal RNA, 655 nt
Filed under: uncultured bacterium
Lineage: Bacteria
Description: bacterial SSU rRNA
Rfam family: Bacterial small subunit ribosomal RNA
Source: RNAcentral